This 468-nucleotide ribosomal RNA is filed under the name uncultured bacterium. Its description in RNAcentral is "partial 16S ribosomal RNA". It matches the Rfam family "Bacterial small subunit ribosomal RNA", at positions 28 to 507 of the family's 1533-position model. The record is from RNAcentral.
GACGAACGCUGGCGGCGUGCUUAACACAUGCAAGUCGAACGGAAAGGCCCUGCUUUUGUGGGGUGCUCGAGUGGCGAACGGGUGAGUAACACGUGAGUAACCUGCCCUUGACUUUGGGAUAACUUCAGGAAACUGGGGCUAAUACCGGAUAGGAUCUCCUGCUGCAUGGUGGGGGUUGGAAAGUUUCGGCGGUUGGGGAUGGACUCGCGGCUUAUCCGCUUGUUGGUGAGGUAGUGGCUUACCAAGGCUUUGACGGGUAGCCGGCCUGAGAGGGUGACCGGCCACAUUGGGACUGAGAUACGGCCCAGACUCCUACGGGAGGCAGCAGUGGGGAAUAUUGCACAAUGGGCGGAAGCCUGAUGCAGCAACGCCGCGUGCGGGAUGACGGCCUUCGGGUUGUAAACCGCUUUCGCCUGUGACGAAGCGUGAGUGACGGUAAUGGGUAAAGAAGCACCGGCUAACUACGUG